UAGGGAAUCUUCGGCAAUGGGGGCAACCCUGACCGAGCAACGCCGCGUGAGUGAAGAAGGUUUUCGGAUCGUAAAGCUCUGUUGUAAGAGAAGAACGAGUGUGAGAGUGGAAAGUUCACACUGUGACGGUAACUUACCAGAAAGGGACGGCUAACUACGUGCCAGCAGCCGCGGUAAUACGUAGGUCCCGAGCGUUAUCCGGAUUUAUUGGGGCGUAAAGCGAGCGCAGGCGGUUUGAUAAGUCUGAAGUUAAAGGCUGUGGCUCAACCAUAGUUCGCUUUGGAAACUGUCAAACUUGAGUGCAGAAGGGGAGAGUGGAAUUCCAUGUGUAGCGGUGAAAUGCGUAGAUAUAUGGAGGAACACCGGUGGCGAAAGCGGCUCUCUGGUCUGUAACUGACGCUGAGGCUCGAAAGCGUGGGGAGCAAACAGGAUUAGAUACCCUGGUAGUCCACGCCGUAAACGAUGAGUGCUAGGUGUUAGACCCUUUCCGGGGUUUAGUGCCGCAGCUAACGCAUUAAGCACUCCGCCUGGGGAGUACGACCGCAAGGUUG
This 551-nucleotide ribosomal RNA is filed under the name uncultured bacterium. RNAcentral describes it as "bacterial SSU rRNA". It matches the Rfam family "Bacterial small subunit ribosomal RNA", at positions 355 to 896 of the family's 1533-position model. The record is from RNAcentral.